Grammomys surdaster is the source of this 168-nucleotide small nuclear RNA. RefSeq annotates it as U1 spliceosomal RNA. The transcript has a single exon. NCBI's taxonomy places the organism in Eukaryota, Metazoa, Chordata, Mammalia, Rodentia, Muridae. The record is from RefSeq and is a predicted model, not a curated record.
UUACCUGCCUGGCAGAGAAGUUAAAGAUUGAGGAUCAGUAGGAUGCCUUUUCUUAGGCUGAGCUUAGCCAUUGUACUCAAGAUGUGCUGUCAUAUGUGGUUUCUCCAAAUGUGGGAAAGCUACUGCAUAAUUUGUGGUAGUAAGGGCGUGUGUUCCCACUUUUCCCUG